This 491-nucleotide ribosomal RNA is filed under the name uncultured bacterium. RNAcentral describes it as "partial 16S ribosomal RNA". It matches the Rfam family "Bacterial small subunit ribosomal RNA", at positions 27 to 507 of the family's 1533-position model. The record is from RNAcentral.
GGAUGAACGCUAGCGAUAGGCUUAACACAUGCAAGUCGAGGGGCAGCAUGGUCUUAGCUUGCUAAGACUGAUGGCGACCGGCGCACGGGUGCGUAACGCGUAUGCAACUUGCCUCACAGAGGGGGAUAACCCGUCGAAAGACGGACUAAUACCGCGUACACUCCAUCUUGGGCAUCCAAGGUAGAGGAAAUGAAAUUCGCUGUGAGAUAGGCAUGCGUCCCAUUAGCUAGUUGGUGAGGUAACGGCUCACCAAGGCGACGAUGGGUAGGGGAACUGAGAGGUUGAACCCCCACACUGGUACUGAGACACGGACCAGACUCCUACGGGAGGCAGCAGUGAGGAAUAUUGGUCAAUGGGCGAGAGCCUGAACCAGCCAAGUCGCGUGAAGGAUGACUGUCUUAUGGAUUGUAAACUUCUUUUAUACGGGAAUAACAAGAGUCACGUGUGACUCCCUGCAUGUACCGUAUGAAUAAGCAUCGGCUAACUCCGUG